Molecule: long non-coding RNA, 418 nt
Filed under: Ananas comosus (pineapple)
Lineage: Eukaryota; Viridiplantae; Streptophyta; Magnoliopsida; Poales; Bromeliaceae
Description: long non-coding RNA (ACOM_LNC022312)
Source: RNAcentral
AUUUUGGGCCAAUGUCAUAAAGAGGCAUUAGGCCCCGGGCUAUAGUGAAUAUUGGUAUUAAUGUCAUAUUUGGAACAUAGAACAUGAAUUGAGCUUGAUUAGUUGUGAUGCUUAAGUGUCAUAAAGAGGCACUAAGCAAGUGAGUGUUGAGAUAUCACAUUGUGACAUAGAGCUAGACCGUUGGGUUACUAGUAGCUAUUGCCAUGUUUGAGACAUGAGGGUUGGACACUUGAGCCUUUGACUACGCUUGCUUGCCAUUUGUGCUCAUUCGUACAUGCUUGUGAGGGUCGCUCCCUACAAGCGGGCACUCCGGAGUUAGCCUACGCGACUUAUGUUCGCUCGUGCGGUAUUGAGAAGCCUACGGGGUCGAGUGGGAUAGACACAUUCCAAGAGUAGGAAUGUCGGGCUACCACAGGCA